AUUGAACGCUGGCGGCAGGCCUAACACAUGCAAGUCGAACGGUAACAGGAAGCAGCUUGCUGCUUUGCUGACGGGUGGCGGACGGGUGAGUAAUGUCUGGGAAACUGCCCGAUGGAGGGGGAUAACUACUGGAAACGGUAGCUAAUACCGCAUAACGUCGCAAGACCAAAGAGGGGGACCUUAGGGCCUCUUGCCAUCGGAUGUGCCCAGAUGGGAUUAGCUAGUAGGUGGGGUAACGGCUCACCUAGGCGACGAUCCCUAGCUGGUCUGAGAGGAUGACCAGCCACACUGGAACUGAGACACGGUCCAGACUCCUACGGGAGGCAGCAGUGGGGAAUAUUGCACAAUGGGCGCAAGCCUGAUGCAGCCAUGCCGCGUGUAUGAAGAAGGCCUUCGGGUUGUAAAGUACUUUCAGCGGGGAGGAAGGGAGUAAAGUUAAUACCUUGGCUCAUUGACGUUACCCGCAGAAGAAGCACCGGCUAACUCCGUG
Molecule: ribosomal RNA, 490 nt
Filed under: uncultured bacterium
Lineage: Bacteria
Description: partial 16S ribosomal RNA
Rfam family: Bacterial small subunit ribosomal RNA
Source: RNAcentral